UACAGAGGGGGCAAGCGUUGUUCGGAAUUACUGGGCGUAAAGGGCGCGUAGGCGGCCUGCUAAGUCGAACGUGAAAUCCCCGGGCUCAACCCGGGAACUGCGUCCGAUACUGGCAGGCUUGAAUCCGGGAGAGGGAUGUGGAAUUCCAGGUGUAGCGGUGAAAUGCGUAGAUAUCUGGAGGAACACCGGUGGCGAAAGCGGCUCACUGGACCCAAUCUGACACUGAGGUGCGAAAGCAUGGGGAGCGAACAGG
RNAcentral lists this ribosomal RNA (253 nucleotides) under uncultured bacterium. RNAcentral's name for it is "partial 16S ribosomal RNA". It matches the Rfam family "Bacterial small subunit ribosomal RNA", at positions 524 to 776 of the family's 1533-position model. The record is from RNAcentral.